GACGAACGCUGGCGGCGUGCCUAAUACAUGCAAGUAGAACGCUGAAGGAGGAGCUUGCUUCUCUGGAUGAGUUGCGAACGGGUGAGUAACGCGUAGGUAACCUGCCUGGUAGCGGGGGAUAACUAUUGGAAACGAUAGCUAAUACCGCAUAAGAGUAGAUGUCGCAUGACAUUUGCUUAAAAGGUGCAAUUGCAUCACUACCAGAUGGACCUGCGUUGUAUUAGCUAGUUGGUGAGGUAACGGCUCACCAAGGCAACGAUACAUAGCCGACCUGAGAGGGUGAUCGGCCACACUGGGACUGAGACACGGCCCAGACUCCUACGGGAGGCAGCAGUAGGGAAUCGUCGGCAAUGGACGGAAGUCUGACCGAGAAACGCCGCGUGAGUGAAGAAGGUUUUCGGAUCGUAAAGCUCGGUUGUAAGAGAAGAACGAGUGUGAGAGUGGAAAGUUCACACUGUGACGGUAUCUUACCAGAAAGGGACGGCUAACUACGUG
RNAcentral lists this ribosomal RNA (495 nucleotides) under uncultured bacterium. RNAcentral's name for it is "partial 16S ribosomal RNA". It matches the Rfam family "Bacterial small subunit ribosomal RNA", at positions 28 to 507 of the family's 1533-position model. The record is from RNAcentral.